UGUGCAACUGUAUAAUGUUGUUUCAGUUUCUUUCAUCUGCUUUUUUUGUUUGGAAUCAAUUCCAUUGUUGGAUUGUAGUGUUCAUGUUUUGUUGGAAAAACUCAGAUUCUGGUUGCUAGGAGACACCUUAGGAGGUUGAUGAGAAUCUGUGUGAAAUUGUCUGUUAAAGUGAGUGUUGGGAUCAAUGGUUCAGUGGAGGUUUUGUCUAGAGGUCACGUACCUGGUGGUAAGUAUAAUCUGAUAUGGCUUUACGCUCUAUGGUACUGGAGUCAAGGUGAUCUCAUGGAACUUUGUGUGUUUUCUACUCU
RNAcentral lists this long non-coding RNA (308 nucleotides) under Brassica napus (rape). RNAcentral describes it as "long non-coding RNA (BNAP_LNC020101)". The record is from RNAcentral. Lineage: Eukaryota; Viridiplantae; Streptophyta; Magnoliopsida; Brassicales; Brassicaceae.